Molecule: long non-coding RNA, 314 nt
Organism: Macadamia integrifolia
Lineage: Eukaryota; Viridiplantae; Streptophyta; Magnoliopsida; Proteales; Proteaceae
Exons: 2
Source: RefSeq, a predicted model, not a curated record
AAAAAACAUUGGAGAAGAAGAAGGAGAAAGGAAGAAGGAAGGCAAGGGAGGAGGAAGAAGGAAGGGCUUGGGGUUCCUAUCAACUAAGAUGAUGGAACCAGUGCUGAGGCAGGCUUGGGGCUUCGGUGGCAAUGGUGAAGCUUGUGUCUACAUGACAUCAUGUUGACAGACAUUACUUCUUUAUUUUCAGUUAUUUAUCCUUAUGUAUUAUUUAUAAUCUUAUGAUACAUGUGAACAUAAUUCAAAUGAAUUUGAGUAUAUUGUAAUUAUCAUUUAGUGAAUCACCAGUAGUAGAGUAAAGUUUAUAAAUCUUA